GAGCAAUGAGGAUAUUGUACCUAUGUGAUGGUAGGGUCUAUCACUAUCAUCUGAUAUCAUGAUGACAAAUUGGUGUAGCUGAGCUC
Small nucleolar RNA from Mercurialis annua (annual mercury), 86 nucleotides. RefSeq annotates it as small nucleolar RNA snoR114. Lineage: Eukaryota; Viridiplantae; Streptophyta; Magnoliopsida; Malpighiales; Euphorbiaceae. The record is from RefSeq and is a predicted model, not a curated record. The transcript has a single exon.